This 479-nucleotide ribosomal RNA is filed under the name uncultured bacterium. RNAcentral describes it as "partial 16S ribosomal RNA". It matches the Rfam family "Bacterial small subunit ribosomal RNA", at positions 28 to 507 of the family's 1533-position model. The record is from RNAcentral.
GAUGAACGCUAGCGGGAGGCCUAACACAUGCAAGCCGAGCGGUCGAGCUUCUUCGGUCCCUUGAGAGCGGCGCACGGGUGCGUAACACGUGUGCAACCUACCUUUAUCUGGGGGAUAGCCUUUCGAAAGGAAGAUUAAUACCCCAUAAUAUAAUGAUUGGCAUCCAUUAUUAUUGAAAACUCCGGUGGAUAGUGAUGGGCACGCGCAAGAUUAGCUAGUUGGUGAGGUAACGGCUCACCAAGUCAAUGAUCUUUAGGGGUCCUGAGAGGGAGAUCCCCCAGACUGGAACUGAGACACGGACCAGACUGCUACGGGGGGCAGCAGUAAGGAAUAUUAGAGGAGGAGGGAGAGCCGGAUCCAGCCAUCCCGGGUGAAGGAGGACGGGGCUAGGGAUAGUAAACUACUAUUGAACAGGGAUAAACCUAGCCUCUAGAGGGUAGCUGAAGGUACUGAACGAAUAAGCACCGGCUAACUCCGUG